UGGGGAAUAUUGCACAAUGGGGGGAAACUCUGAUGCAGCGACGCCGCGUGAGUGAAGAAGUAUUUCGGUAUGUAAAGCUCUAUCAGCAGGGAAGAUAAUGACAGUACCUGACUAAGAAGCCCCGGCUAACUACGUGCCAGCAGCCGCGGUAAUACGUAGGGAGCGAGCGUUGUCCGGAUUUACUGGGUGUAAAGGGUGCGUAGGCGGAAGAGCAAGUCAGUAGUGAAAUCCAUGGGCUUAAACCCGUGAACUGCUAUUGAAACUGUUCUUCUUGAGUGAAGUAGAGGUAGGCGGAAUUCCCGGUGUAGCGGUGAAAUGCGUAGAGAUCGG
Molecule: ribosomal RNA, 330 nt
Filed under: uncultured Oribacterium sp.
Lineage: Bacteria; Bacillati; Bacillota; Clostridia; Lachnospirales; Lachnospiraceae
Description: bacterial SSU rRNA
Rfam family: Bacterial small subunit ribosomal RNA
Source: RNAcentral